Non-coding RNA from Pogona vitticeps (central bearded dragon), 296 nucleotides. NCBI's taxonomy places the organism in Eukaryota, Metazoa, Chordata, Lepidosauria, Squamata, Agamidae. The record is from RefSeq and is a predicted model, not a curated record.
GAAACCUGAUGCUAUGACACACCAAGCAGAUUCUUAAAAGUUUGCAUAGCAGUGAGACACUAUUUGUGGCUCUUCUGUCACAUGGGUACUUGAACUGGAAUAAUUCUCAUUGGACACAGUAAAAUCUACAAGGCUGAACUAUAAGAACUUGGGUCUGGAAAGGCCUAAGGGAAUAUUCUGGAAGAAGCAUCCAUUAAAAAACAUGUUCAUAAAUACUUAUGAAAGACAUUGGGUCUGAGGAAGUGAACUUGUCCAUGAAAGCUCACAUUAAAAUACAGCAUUUAGUUUUUAAGGUA